RNAcentral lists this ribosomal RNA (462 nucleotides) under uncultured bacterium. Its description in RNAcentral is "bacterial SSU rRNA". It matches the Rfam family "Bacterial small subunit ribosomal RNA", at positions 29 to 524 of the family's 1533-position model. The record is from RNAcentral.
AACGAACGCUGGCGGCAGGCCUAACACAUGCAAGUCGAACGCCGUAGCAAUACGGAGUGGCAGACGGGUGAGUAACGCGUGGGAACAUACCCCUCGGUUCGGAAUAACUUAGGGAAACUUGAGCUAAUACCGGAUACGUCCGAGGUUUUAACCGGCCUCGGAGAAAGAUUUAUCGCCGGAGGAUUGGCCCGCGUCUGAUUAGCUUGUUGGUGAGGUAAUGGCUCACCAAGGCGACGAUCAGUAGCGGUCUGAGAGGAUGAUCAGCCACAUUGGGACUGAGACACGGCCCAAACUCCUACGGGAGGCAGCAGUGGGGAAUAUUGGACAAUGGGCGAAAGCCUGAUCCAGCCAUGCCGCGUGAGUGAUGAAGGCCUUAGGGUUGUAAAGCUCUUUCGCCCGUGACGAUGAUGACGGUAACGGAGAAGAAGCCCCGGCUAACUUCGUGCCAGCCGCCGCUGUAAC